This 113-nucleotide ribosomal RNA is filed under the name Pteropus alecto (black flying fox). The record is from RNAcentral. Lineage: Eukaryota; Metazoa; Chordata; Mammalia; Chiroptera; Pteropodidae.
GUCUAUGGCCGUGCUUCCCUGAACAAGCCCGAUCCCAGCUGAUCUUGGAAGCUAAGCAGGGUUAGGCCUGGCUUGAAUGGGAGACUACCUAGGAAGACCAGGUGCUGUAGGUG